RNAcentral lists this ribosomal RNA (441 nucleotides) under Bacillus sp. (in: firmicutes). Its description in RNAcentral is "bacterial SSU rRNA". It matches the Rfam family "Bacterial small subunit ribosomal RNA", at positions 359 to 796 of the family's 1533-position model. The record is from RNAcentral. Lineage: Bacteria; Bacillati; Bacillota; Bacilli; Caryophanales; Bacillaceae.
GUCUCCAUAGUGCUGAGAGUCUGACGGAGCACGCCGCGUGAGUGAUGAAGGCUUUCGGGUCGUAAAACUCUGUUGUUAGGGAAGAACAAGUGCUAGUUGAAUAAGCUGGCACCUUGACGGUACCUAACCAGAAAGCCACGGCUAACUACGUGCCAGCAGCCGCGGUAAUACGUAGGUGGCAAGCGUUAUCCGGAAUUAUUGGGCGUAAAGCGCGCGCAGGUGGUUUCUUAAGUCUGAUGUGAAAGCCCACGGCUCAACCGUGGAGGGUCAUUGGAAACUGGGAGACUUGAGUGCAGAAGAGGAAAGUGGAAUUCCAUGUGUAGCGGUGAAAUGCGUAGAGAUAUGGAGGAACACCAGUGGCGAAGGCGACUUUCUGGUCUGUAACUGACACUGAGGCGCGAAAGCGUGGGGAGCAAACAGGAUUAGAUACCCCGGUAGUCA